UUGGAGGGCAAGUCUGGUGCCAGCAGCCGCGGUAAUUCCAGCUCCAAUAGCGUAUAUUAAAGUUGUUGCAGUUAAAAAGCUCGUAGUUGAAUUUCGGGAUCAAUACGUCGGUCGUGCUUUCGGGUACGUACUGGCGUCAUUGGUUUCUCCUUUCUGACGAACCAUGAUGUCAUUAAUUUGGUGUUAUGGGGAGUUAGGACUGUUACUUUGAAAAAAUUAGAGUGUUUAAAGCAGGCAUUAGCUUGAAUACAUUAGCACGGAAUAAUGAAAUAGGACGUUCGAUCCUAUUUUGUUGGUUUCUAGGAUCAACGUAAUGAUUAAUAGGGAUAGUUGGGGGCAUUAGUAUUCAAUUGUCAGAGGUGAAAUUCUUGGAUUUAUUGAAGACUAACUACUGCGAAAGCAUUUGCCAAGGAUGUUUUCAUUAAUCAAGAACGAAAGUUAGGGGAUCGAAGACGAUCAGAUACCGUCGUAGUCUUAACCAUAAACUAUGCCGACUAGGGAUCGGAUGAUGUUAAUUUUUUAAUGACUCAUUCGGCGCCUUACGGGAAAC
RNAcentral lists this ribosomal RNA (550 nucleotides) under uncultured Glomeromycotina. Its description in RNAcentral is "SSU rRNA". It matches the Rfam family "Eukaryotic small subunit ribosomal RNA", at positions 548 to 1098 of the family's 1831-position model. Lineage: Eukaryota; Fungi; Glomeromycota. The record is from RNAcentral.